GUAGUUAGCCGGGGCUUUCUUACAGGGUACCGUCACUUCUUCGUCCCCUGCGACAGAGGUUUACAAUCCGAAAACCUUCUUCCCUCACGCGGCGUUGCUGGGUCAGGCUUGCGCCCAUUGCCCAAUAUUCCCCACUGCUGCCUCCCGUAGGAGUCUGGACCGUGUCUCAGUUCCAGUGUGGCCGAUCAGCCUCUCAGCUCGGCUACCCAUCGUCGGCUUGGUGGGCUGUUAUCUCACCAACUACCUAAUGGGACGCGAACCCCUCUAAAAGCGAUAAAUCUUUGACCUCUUCCCGAUGCCGGGUUGUGGUCUUAUGCGGUAUUAGCAGUUGUUUCCACCUGUUAUUCCCCACUCUUAGGCAGGUUGUUCACGCGUUACUCACCCGUGCGCCACUAGAAUUAUCAAUUCCAUCCGAAAACUUCCUUAAUAAUCCCCGUUCGACUUGCAUGUGUUAGGCACGCCGCCAGCGUUCGUCCUGAGCACGAUACAACUACUGA
RNAcentral lists this ribosomal RNA (497 nucleotides) under uncultured bacterium. Its description in RNAcentral is "partial 16S ribosomal RNA". The record is from RNAcentral.